This 65-nucleotide unclassified non-coding RNA is filed under the name Escherichia coli ETEC H10407. RNAcentral describes it as "sok". The record is from RNAcentral. Lineage: Bacteria; Pseudomonadati; Pseudomonadota; Gammaproteobacteria; Enterobacterales; Enterobacteriaceae.
GUUGGUUAGACAUACAGUGGGCCUCGUGGGUUAAUGAAAAUUAACUACGGGGCUUUCUGCUUUCU